UGAGGAAUAUUGGACAAUGGGCGCAAGCCUGAUCCAGCCAUGCCGCGUGCGGGAAGAAGGCCUUCGGGCUGUAAACCGCUUUUGUCAGGGAAGAAACGAGUUUCUCUAAUACAGAGACUUAAUGACGGUACCUGAAGAAUAAGCACCGGCUAACUUCGUGCCAGCAGCCGCGGUAAUACGAAGGGUGCAAGCGUUACUCGGAAUUACUGGGCGUAAAGCGUGCGUAGGUGGUGGUUUAAGUCUGCUGUGAAAGCCCUGGGCUCAACCUGGGAACUGCGUUUGUGACUGCAUAACUAGAGUACGGCAGAGGGAGGUGGAAUUCCGCGUGUAGCAGUGAAAUGCGUAGAUAUGCGGAGGAACACCGAUGGCGAAGGCAGCCUCCUGGGCCAGUACUGACGCUCAUGCACGAAAGCGUGGGGAGCAAACA
This 427-nucleotide ribosomal RNA is filed under the name uncultured bacterium. RNAcentral describes it as "bacterial SSU rRNA". It matches the Rfam family "Bacterial small subunit ribosomal RNA", at positions 355 to 774 of the family's 1533-position model. The record is from RNAcentral.